RNAcentral lists this long non-coding RNA (273 nucleotides) under Bemisia tabaci. RNAcentral's name for it is "lncRNA ENSSSA1NGG012243". Lineage: Eukaryota; Metazoa; Arthropoda; Insecta; Hemiptera; Aleyrodidae. The record is from RNAcentral.
GAGUGCAUGUCGCCAGCUGCUAAUCGGAUUGCCAGCUUGCCCGCUACGAGCUACUAAUAGGAUCAAUCUUAAGAUUUGGAGAAAAAAAGCGAUGGGGUGUCUAAGGAGAUGAAAUCUCAUUAUGAGACGUCUGCGGCGUUGCUGCUCUUGAAGUGCAUUAUCCUAAUGGCAGUGGACGCCGUAAAUCCAGGUAAGCCCUCUCUCUCUGCUAAUCCACGCACGCACCCGCUCAGCCUUUAUUUUCCCAACUCGUCAAUCCAACUUAAAGUGGAU